UCAUGCUCAGAACGAACGCUGGCGGCGUGCCUAACACUGCAAGUCGAGCGCGUGUAGCGAUACACGAGUGGCGGACGGGUGAGUAACGCGUGGGAACCUGCCCAAUGGUAGGGAAUAACUGCGGGAAACUGCACCUAAUACCCUAUGCUCCCUACGGGGGAAAGAUUUAUCGCCAUUGGAGGGGCCCGCGUCGGAUUAGCUAGUUGGCGGGGUAACGGCCCACCAAGGCUACGAUCCGUAGCUGGUCUGAGAGGAUGAUCAGCCACACUGGGACUGAGAUACGGCCCAGACUCCUACGGGAGGCAGCAGUGGGGAAUAUUGGACAAUGAGGGAAACCCUGAUCCAGCAAUGCCGCGUGAGUGAAGAAGGCCUUAGGGUUGUAAAGCUCUUUCGGCGGGGACGAUGGUGACGGUACCCGCAGAAGAAGCCCCGGCUAACUUCGUGCCAGCAGCCGCGGUAAUACGAAGGGGGCUAGCGUUGUUCGGAAUCACUGGGUGUAAAGGGCGCGUAGGCGGCGCGACAAGUCAGGCGUGAAAGCCCCGGGCUCAACCCGGGAAUUGCGCUUGAUACUGUCGUGCUUGAGGCCGGGAGAGGAUGGCGGAAUUCCCAGUGUAGAGGUGAAAUUUGUAGAUAUUGGGAAGAACACCGGUGGCGAAGGCGGCCAUCUGGACCGGUUCUGACGCUGAGGCGCGAAAGCGUGGGGAGCAAACAGGAUUAGAUACCCUGGUAGUCCACGCCGUAAACGAUGAGUGCUAGACGUCGGGGGGUUCACCCUCCGGUGUCGCAGCUAAC
This 792-nucleotide ribosomal RNA is filed under the name uncultured Alphaproteobacteria bacterium. RNAcentral's name for it is "bacterial SSU rRNA". It matches the Rfam family "Bacterial small subunit ribosomal RNA", at positions 18 to 856 of the family's 1533-position model. The record is from RNAcentral. Lineage: Bacteria; Pseudomonadati; Pseudomonadota; Alphaproteobacteria.